Molecule: long non-coding RNA, 335 nt
Organism: Oncorhynchus tshawytscha (Chinook salmon)
Lineage: Eukaryota; Metazoa; Chordata; Actinopteri; Salmoniformes; Salmonidae
Source: Ensembl
GAGGGAGGGAGAGAGGGAGAGAUGGGGAGAGGGAGGGAGUGGGAGAGAGGGAGAGAUGGGGAGAUAGAGGGAGUGGGAGAGAGGGAGAGAUGGGGAGAGAGAGGGAGUGGGAGAAAGGGAGAGAUGGGGAGAGAGAGGGAGUGGGAGAGAGGGAGAGAUGGGGAGAGAGGGAGUAGGAGAAAAUGAGAGAUGGGGAGAGAGAGGGAGUGGGAGAAAGUGAGAGAUGGGGAGAGAGAGGGGAGGGGAGAGAGGGAGAGAUGGGGAGAUAGAGGGAGUGGGAGAGAGGGAGAGAUGGGGAGAGAGGGGGAGAGAGGGAGAUGGGGAGAGAGGGAGGG